This 440-nucleotide ribosomal RNA is filed under the name uncultured bacterium. RNAcentral describes it as "partial 16S ribosomal RNA". It matches the Rfam family "Bacterial small subunit ribosomal RNA", at positions 338 to 795 of the family's 1533-position model. The record is from RNAcentral.
CCUACGGGUGGCUGCAGUAGGGAAUAUUGCUCAAUGGGCGAAACCCUGAAGCAGCAACGCCGCGUGAAGGAUGAAGGUCUUCGGAUUGUAAACCCCUUUUUUUAGAGAAGAUAAUGACUGUAUCUAACGAAGAAUCACCGGCUAACUCCGUUCCAGCAGCCGCGGUAAUACGGAGGGUCCAAGCGUUACUCGGAAUCACUGGGCGUAAAGAGCACGUAGGCGGGAUAGCAAGUCAGAGGUGAAAUCCUAUGGCUUAACCAUAGAACUGCAUUUGAAACUGUUCUUCUAGAGUAUGGGAGAGGUAGGUGGAAUUCGUGGUGUAGCGGUAAAAUCCGUAGAGAUCAAGAGGAACACUCAUUGCGAAGGCGACCUGCUAGAACAUAACUGACGCUGAUGCGCGAAAGCGUGGGGAGCAAACAGGAUUAGAUACCCGGGUAGUC